GGCUCCUCCCAUCAGUCUGACCAGCUCAGCAUCUCAUUUCCACCACUAAUAAGGCUGAACAGCAGUGUAGAGACGGAGAAUAGUCAGUAAUGAGCUCUGAAAGACACUGCAGGGAACGCUGAAUGAGAAGAGCAGUGAAAGGGUUUAGAUGAACAGAAGAAAGGAUGAGAGAGGACAGAAAGAAUAAGAACCAUCUGCAGACGUCAGGUGAACAGGUCUUCUCCUUUAUAAGCAGCUCAGAUGGAGGACGCUGGAUGACUGACAGUCUUUACUGCAGAUGAUCUGCUGUGGAGGUCAUUCACAGAUUCAGCUCCGUCACUCAGUCAGAGUCACUAAGACUGUAAAGUGAAGCAUGUUUACUGGACUCUGGACUCUGUACAGCCCCUCAGGUUUGAUGUUAUUGACCUGUGGGAUCUUGUUACCAUUCAGAUGGGAUGUUUUAGACGGUGCAUGACAGUCUCAGCAUUUUGAUGCAUGUAAGACGGCUUUAGGUUCUGCAUUGAUGAUUGGGCUGAAAAGAUGAAGAGCAGAAAUCACAGUUGAAGAUGGUUUUUAGAUGAUUUUCAUGUGCUUGCUGAGUUUAACUUGUGCCCAGGGUCCCAUGAAGACCAUGACUGAUCCCUGAUUAUACAGUAUAGUUCAAACCGUUCGCACUGCUUACUGUAUUUAAAGACUUUCAUAUAGAAAACUGUGGAAAUGUUUACUGUAAAUGUUAUUAAACACAUGGGAAAUAUUUACCCUGUUCAUUAUGGUUUUA
Pygocentrus nattereri (red-bellied piranha) is the source of this 757-nucleotide long non-coding RNA. RefSeq lists it as uncharacterized. Lineage: Eukaryota; Metazoa; Chordata; Actinopteri; Characiformes; Serrasalmidae. The record is from RefSeq and is a predicted model, not a curated record. The transcript has 3 exons.